UACGUAGGACCCGAGCGUUGUCCGGAUUUACUGGGUAUAAAGGGUGCGUAGGCGGCCUUGUGCGUCAGAGGUGAAAUCUCCGGGCUUAACCCGGAGGGUGCCUUUGAUACGGCAGGGCUUGAGUGUGAGAGAGGAUGAUGGAAUUCCUGGUGUAGCGGUGAAAUGCGUAGAUAUCAGGAGGAACACCGGUGGCGAAGGCGGUCAUCUGGCUCGCAACUGACGCUGAGGCACGAAAGCACGGGGAUCAAACAGGAUUAGAUACCCUGGUAGUACGCGCCCUAAACGAGGUAUGCUUGGUGUUGGACCCGCAAGGGUUCAGUGCCGUAGGCAAUCUGAUAAGCGUACCACCUGGGGAGUACGAUCGCAAGGUUG
RNAcentral lists this ribosomal RNA (372 nucleotides) under uncultured prokaryote. RNAcentral's name for it is "bacterial SSU rRNA". It matches the Rfam family "Bacterial small subunit ribosomal RNA", at positions 524 to 896 of the family's 1533-position model. The record is from RNAcentral.